RNAcentral lists this ribosomal RNA (449 nucleotides) under uncultured bacterium. RNAcentral describes it as "bacterial SSU rRNA". It matches the Rfam family "Bacterial small subunit ribosomal RNA", at positions 354 to 796 of the family's 1533-position model. The record is from RNAcentral.
GUCGAGAAUUUUUCACAAUGGGCGAAAGCCUGAUGGAGCGACGCCGCGUGGGGGAUGAAUGGCUUCGGCCCGUAAACCCCUGUCAUUUGCGAGCAAAGCCUUGCCGCUAACACCGGUAAGGUUGAUCGUAGCGAAAGAGGAAGGGACGGCUAACUCUGUGCCAGCAGCCGCGGUAAUACAGAGGUCCCAAGCGUUGUUCGGAUUCACUGGGCGUAAAGGGUGCGUAGGUGGCACGGUAAGUUCGAUGUGAAAGCUCUGGGCCCAACCCAGAAACGGCAUUGAAUACUAUCGGGCUAGAGGAUUGGAUGGGGGACUGGAAUUCUCGGUGUAGCAGUGAAAUGCGUAGAUAUCGAGAGGAACACCGGUGGCGAAGGCGAGUCCCUGGAAAAUUCCUGACACUGAGGCACGAAAGCUAGGGGAGCAAACAGGAUUAGAUACCCGAGUAGUCC